UCUGAGACACAGCAAUAUUGAAAUUAGGCCAAUUAAUAACUCUAUAAAGGCCUCUAUGUGUUCAAGUGAAAGUAAGAGUCACACAUCUCUUAUUAUAAAUCUAAAGUGAGAAAUGAUUAAGCUGAGUGAGGAAGGUAUGUUAAAAGCUGAGACAGGCCAAAAGGCCCAGGCUGGUCUCGAACUCCUGACCUCAAGCAAUCCACCUGCCGCAGCCUCCCAGGUAGCUGAGAUUAAAGGCAUGAGCCACCAUGUCCAGCUUCUAUGCAUUAUUUUAAAUGGAGUAUUGAAGACUCUGUUACUGUAGAACUAUUUCUAACUUCAAUUCUGUCAAUAUUUGGGUCACAGGCCUUAAUGUGAUUACACGCUGGUCUGAUGCUCAUGGCCAGGACAUUUUGUUUUCCUGUUGGACAUAAACAAUCUCACAGAAUAUCAACUUCAGAAGGUUAAUCUGAGACCGUGAUAAGUGCAAACAAAAACAAGGGCACUUUAUAAUGUUGUCUAAGUGCAGAUAAAAAACAAGGUCUUGAUGCCACCCACAAAAUACUUAAUAAUCAUAUUGCUCCUGCUUUCUGACAGCAUCCAAUCUAAAGUCUUCACUUUCUGAGAUCCUGUCCGAAAUCAACCAAUUAAAGUCCAAAUCGUAUAAUAGUUUCUCUCUAACUCCUCCCACUGAGAUGACCCAUAGUACCCCAUUCCUUGCUGCAAUGUAAUUAUAUUUACUUACAAGUGUGCUCCUGGUGGUCUUUAACUGAAGGGCACUGACUGGGUCACUGGUGAAGUUCCCCGCAGGAACUGAGUCAGACCCCAUCUCAGGGCCCUGCACAAGAUAGGUACCUGCUCUAAGGCGUGGACCCUCGCCACAGCCCUGGCCCGUCUUGACGGGCGAGGGUUACUGUACUUGUCCCAACCGUACAGAUGAGAAAGCUGAGACUCAGGGCCAGCAACCCGGGUCCCAGCGGAGCGCCCGGCACGCGCCAACACUUCAGCACCAGUCGCGGUGGCCACCACUGUGCGCGGAGAUGGCUGCGACGCGUGCGCAGGGAAAUUUGUGCACAGAGAUAACACAGGGGAUAUGCCAUAUGAAGAUGAAGGCAGAAUUCUACAAGCCCAGGGAUGCCAAAGAUUGCCAGCAAACCACCAGAAGCUAGGAGAGAAGUGUGGAUUAGAUUCUUCCUCACAGCCCUCAGAAGGAUCCAGCCCUGCCAAGAACUUGAUCUCAGACUUCUAGUCUCCAGAACUGUGAGACAGUGCAUUUUGUUUUGUAAGUCAGCCAUAUGGUUUGUGGCACUUUGUUAUGGCAGCCCUAGGAGAUGAAGACAAUAUGCAACAUGGUAUGUCCAUUAUAGGACACUGUGGGCCAUAAAUGUGUUCUUUGGCCUGAAGAAAUAAAACUUGGUGGUCCAAGUUGAUGUCUUAUCAUCUGUUCCAGUUCUUUUAUAGUAUUUUU
Molecule: long non-coding RNA, 1447 nt
Filed under: Homo sapiens (human)
Lineage: Eukaryota; Metazoa; Chordata; Mammalia; Primates; Hominidae
Description: HSALNT0352348
Source: RNAcentral